RNAcentral lists this ribosomal RNA (649 nucleotides) under Cylindrotheca closterium. Its description in RNAcentral is "partial Bacterial large subunit ribosomal RNA". It matches the Rfam family "Bacterial large subunit ribosomal RNA", at positions 50 to 797 of the family's 2925-position model. Lineage: Eukaryota; Bacillariophyta; Bacillariophyceae; Bacillariales; Bacillariaceae. The record is from RNAcentral.
UUAAGGACGUAGCGUAUUUACGAAAAGUUGUGAUGAGAAACGCAAUCUACUAUGAAUCACAAAUCUCCUAGGGUAAACCAUACGUUUUAGUAUUUACUACUAAAUUAAUUGAAACAUCUUAUUAGUUUAAGGAAUAGAAAUCAAACGAGAUUUCAUUAGUAGUGGCGAGCGAAAAUGAAUUAGAGUACAUACAAUAAAAAAGUUAAAUAAUUUGAAAUAAUUAACUAUAAAAGGUUAAAGUCCUGUAAGCUUUUGCGUAUAUUUGUAGUAGAAGAGAUUUCGAGGAGAUCUCUUUGAAUAUUGGAGGACCAUACUUCAAACUCUAAAUAUCUUCAUAUGACCGAUAGAAUAAAGUACUGUGAAGGAAAGAUGAAAAGAAUUCUUAGAUGGAAGUGAAAAGAUUUUGAAAUCUAAUACUCUCAACCGACCGAAGUAUUUAAAAUAUGACGGUGUGCCUUUUGUAUCAUGCAUUAGCGACUUUAAAUUUACAGCAAGCUUAAAUUGUUAAAUGUAAGCGUAGUUAAAGCAAGUGUUCAGUAUACACUAAAUAGUUGUAAAUUUAAGACCCGAAUCCAAGUGAUCUAGUUAUGAACAGGUUGAAUGCAUAAUAAUUUAUGUUGGAAGACCUAACUCGUAACUGUUGCAAAAG